RNAcentral lists this ribosomal RNA (404 nucleotides) under uncultured Rickettsiales bacterium. RNAcentral's name for it is "bacterial SSU rRNA". It matches the Rfam family "Bacterial small subunit ribosomal RNA", at positions 355 to 776 of the family's 1533-position model. Lineage: Bacteria; Pseudomonadati; Pseudomonadota; Alphaproteobacteria; Rickettsiales. The record is from RNAcentral.
UGGGGAAUAUUGGACAAUGGGGGCAACCCUGAUCCAGCAAUGCCGCGUGAAUGAUGAAGGCCUUAGGGUUGUAAAGUUCUUUUAUUGAUGACGAUAAUGACGGUAAUCAAUGAAUAAGCACCGGCUAACUUCGUGCCAGCAGCCGCGGUAAUACGAAGGGUGCUAGCGUUGUUCGGAAUGACUGGGCGUAAAGGGUGCGUAGGCGGUAAGAUGCGUCUGAUGUGAAAUCCCUGGGCUUAACCUAGGAACUGCAUUGGAUACGGUCUUACUAGAGUCCGCGAGAGGAAGAUGGAAUUGUGCGUGUAGAGGUGAAAUUCGUAGAUAUGCACAAGAACACCGGUGGCGAAGGCGAUCUUCUGGAGCGGUACUGACGCUAAGGCACGAAAGCGUGGGGAGCAAACAGG